CAAGUCCAGAGCCAAACAAAAUCCGAAGCUUCCUCAGUCUGAAAGGAAAAUUCGUGCGAAAAGGAUCCUCCGUCUCCUUUGCUAAAAGUCAGCGAAAAAAUAGUUUUUCUGUUCGAGCUCGAAAUAAGAAAAGCUAGCUCCCCCCCGCGAAAACAAAGAGAAAACUUUUGCUUCGCUUGAAAGAAAAUCUAGUGAAGAAAAAAAAACAAACUCUGUAAGCUGAGAGAACUGAACAGUUUGUGAACGCGAUAAGCAAUAAAUAGUUGCAAAAAAGCGCAAACAGCAAAAAGUACGCGAAGCAAAUUUGCUACACUUUUUCCUAAAAGCUUCAAGUGAAAAAUUCAAUAAUCAAACGGUGAAAAACUCAUCCCCCGCGCGCGCUCGUUCGAGAAAAACAAAGUUCUAGCAGCAGGAAAAGUCAGAGCGUGCAAGAGAGAGAGAGAAAGAGAGAGCGCGGAAAAAGCAGUCCAGCAGUUUUCCCCCGCGUCCGCGCAAAGUU
This is a long non-coding RNA of Culex pipiens pallens (northern house mosquito), 499 nucleotides long. RefSeq lists it as uncharacterized. The transcript has 2 exons. The record is from RefSeq and is a predicted model, not a curated record. Lineage: Eukaryota; Metazoa; Arthropoda; Insecta; Diptera; Culicidae.